GCGGCUUCGGUCGUGAGUAAAGCGGCGAACGGGUGAGUAACACGUGGACAACCUGCCUGGAAAUGGGGGAUAACUUGAGGAAACUCGAGCUAAUACCGCAUACGUCCGCGCCGCACGAGCGGUGCGUGCAAAGAUGGCCUCUUCAUGAAAGCUGUCGUUUCCAGAUGGGUCCGCGGCUGAUUAGCCAGUUGGUGGGGUAACGGCCUACCAAAGCGACGAUCAGUAGCCGGCCUGAGAGGGCGAUCGGCCACACUGGAACUGAGACACGGUCCAGACUCCUACGGGAGGCAGCAGUGGGGAAUAUUGGACAAUGGGCGAAAGCCUGAUCCAGCAACGCCGCGUGGAGGAUGAAGGCCCUAGGGUUGUAAACUCCUGUCAGGUGGGACGAAAAGGCGUCGGUCAAUACCCGGCGCCCCUGACGGUACCACCGGAGGAAGCCCCGGCUAACUACGUGCCAGCAGCCGCGGUAACACGUAGGGGGCGAGCGUUAUUCGGAAUUAUUGGGCGUAAAGGGCGCGUAGGCGGCUUGACAAGUCAGUGGUGAAAUCCCUCGGCUCAACCGAGGAACUGCCUCUGA
This 577-nucleotide ribosomal RNA is filed under the name uncultured bacterium. RNAcentral's name for it is "bacterial SSU rRNA". It matches the Rfam family "Bacterial small subunit ribosomal RNA", at positions 74 to 630 of the family's 1533-position model. The record is from RNAcentral.